AAGGAUAUUCGGCAAACUUAUUGAAAAAUAAGGGCGCAAAGCUAUGGGUCUACGGACUUUUUGUCUAUGAUUGCCAGGUUGCUCCA
RNAcentral lists this non-coding RNA (86 nucleotides) under Propionispora vibrioides. Its description in RNAcentral is "c-di-GMP-I riboswitch aptamer". It matches the Rfam family "c-di-GMP-I riboswitch aptamer". From Rfam's summary of the family: GEMM was predicted in a large-scale screen for bacterial structured RNA regulatory elements. Genes associated with GEMM are involved in a diverse array of functions, including chemotaxis regulation, signal transduction, secretion and chitin. The record is from Rfam by way of RNAcentral. Lineage: Bacteria; Bacillati; Bacillota; Negativicutes; Selenomonadales; Sporomusaceae.